GCUAAAGUAGCUUACCAUAAAGUAAUAUCCUGAAGAGAUAUAGACAGGGCCGUAAUAUCCCUCAUUAGUACC
RNAcentral lists this transfer RNA (72 nucleotides) under Cerion watlingense. RNAcentral's name for it is "tRNA-Phe". Lineage: Eukaryota; Metazoa; Mollusca; Gastropoda; Stylommatophora; Cerionidae. RNAcentral also lists the same sequence under 1 other name. The record is from RNAcentral.